UUUUGCUUCUGUCUCCCAAACUCUGGGAUUACAGACAUGUGUCAUGUUAACCUAGCCUUUUCUCUUUAAAACGUAAUCGGCGCGUCACUGUUAACGCUGCCCACUGCUCUUGAACUCCUGGGCUCGGGCGACGGACCCUCCCCUGCCUCCUGGAACAGCUGGGGUUGCAGGUGCAGGCCGGUUCGCCACGUGGAGGACUCAACUCCUGGUAGUCUUUUGGAAUCCUGCAAAUCUGGCACAACAUACUUGGGGCUGGGAUCUCCAAAGCCUCCCAGGACCCCUGAGCCAGAGGAUUGGAUCGGAACCUGGGAUACGCCCUUAACUAAAGGAGGCGCACCACGGAGAGACUUCCAGUGAGUGGGAAGAGGCAACAGGUGGAAAACACAGGAGGGACAGUUUCGAGGGAAUGAAGACUUCCAUUAGGAAAUAUAUUACAAGAUGGUUCAGGAGGUGAAGUCACCUGCUGCCUGAUGCAAGCAUGACGAAAUGAGGAAAGAAGAAAGGAAGGAGAGGAAGAGGAGGAGGAGGAGGAAGAAGAAGGUGUACUUGCCAAUGGCCACCUAUAAGGGGGAACUGGGAUGACUUGGCAAGUCCAACCAAUGACACUGAUACCCUCAAUUUGUGAGGUGAAGUCUUUCAUUGGGUGAAGGAGAAAGCGUGCAGGUUGGAGGAGAAUAAAGAAUGAGCUUCGUCGUGUCAGAGCUGAGGAAAUCCAUCUUACUCAGUAAAUAAAAGUGCCCAGGACCAAUUAAAACUUGUACUAAUGAAAUGAAAGUAAAACCAACCAUCCCAACAAUGCAAUUCCACAUAGCAAGAGUCAACAGCCAGAGGUAUGUGAGUUACUGGGCUUUGUCGGGGUUGGAGAUCUGCAUUAGUUGGCCGGCCAGCUACAGGUGGUGAAGGACCGGGAGAGAAGGCCGAAGGAAGGAGGCGACUGCAGGGGUAAACCAUAGAACUGAGGCCAGGUGCGAAGCAACCCCAGCGAGCGCAUGGGAUUGCUGGUCCAAGGCAAGCAGUCUCUGGGGAGGAGCUGGAAGUGAGCGGAAGUGGUAAAAGCAAGGAUGUUUCUAUUCACGUCGCUUCAGCCUUGUUACUGUGUAAGUGUGAGAAGGACGGACCAGAUGAUAAACAGUUACAUUCACUGUUCGGUACUUGUUCCCUGAAGGUUUGAUUUCCUCUGGGCCCAUGCGUCGAACACGGACAAAAACCAUCCUCCCCUCGAGGAUCUGUCUUUAGUUGAAGAGUAAGAGGAAUUAUACAACAACAACAACAAAAGUCUCGAGUGAAAAUAAUGAGGAACAGUCGAGGUGUGACCCGGCAGGAUUCAAUGGCGUACUAAGAUCUCGAAGGAUUAAGAAGGGCUUCCGGGCUAGAGCGCUGGCCUAGGUUCCCGUCCGGGAAGCGGCGAUGCGGGUCCGUCACGAUCAGGGUGUCCACUUCCCACUGGAGUCCUUGCAGUGCAAAGAGGGGCGGGUAGACGGCACAAGGGUCACGUGUCUUUAAACACGGACCUUCCUAAGUUCUAGAUGGAUGGAUUUCCGCGAGGGG
Meriones unguiculatus (Mongolian gerbil) is the source of this 1548-nucleotide long non-coding RNA. RefSeq lists it as uncharacterized. NCBI's taxonomy places the organism in Eukaryota, Metazoa, Chordata, Mammalia, Rodentia, Muridae. The record is from RefSeq and is a predicted model, not a curated record. The transcript has 5 exons.